UUAACGAUAUAUAUAGUACUCGGACGACACGUACAUUCAGGGUCUGGGAGCCUCUGGCGGGCGCGCGCCAGCCGAAGCUAGCGGCCGGGCAGAGCCUGGCGGCCCGCCAAAGCAACGAUCGUAGUGAUGACAGUGGGUGGGAGAUCUACCCCGGGGGGCACGAACUCUGUAAUGAUCCCUCCGCAGGUUCACCUACGGAAA
This 201-nucleotide unclassified non-coding RNA is filed under the name uncultured fungus. RNAcentral describes it as "sequence contains ITS1". Lineage: Eukaryota; Fungi. The record is from RNAcentral.